This 73-nucleotide transfer RNA is filed under the name Gaiella sp. SCGC AG-212-M14. It matches the Rfam family "tRNA". Rfam says of the family: Transfer RNA (tRNA) molecules are approximately 80 nucleotides in length. The record is from Rfam by way of RNAcentral. RNAcentral also lists the same sequence under 6 other names. Lineage: Bacteria; Bacillati; Actinomycetota; Thermoleophilia; Gaiellales; Gaiellaceae.
GGGCGGUUAGCUCAGCUGGGAGAGCGCCUGCCUUACAAGCAGGAGGUCACUGGUUCGAGCCCAGUACCGCCCA